GUGCUUCACUUCAACAGUACAUACACUAAAAUUAGAACAAUACAGAGACCAUUAGUAUGGCCCCUGUGCAAGGACGGCCUGCAAAUUCAUGAAGUACUCUGUAUUUCU
Molecule: small nuclear RNA, 108 nt
Organism: Mustela putorius furo (domestic ferret)
Lineage: Eukaryota; Metazoa; Chordata; Mammalia; Carnivora; Mustelidae
Source: Ensembl